CCUACGGGUGGCAGCAGUGGGGAAUAUUGCACAAUGGGCGCAAGCCUGAUGCAGCCAUGCCGCGUGUGUGAAGAAGGCCUUCGGGUUGUAAAGCACUUUCAGCGGGGAGGAAGGCGGUGAGGUUAAUAACCUCAUCGAUUGACGUUACCCGCAGAAGAAGCACCGGCUAACUCCGUGCCAUCAGCCGCGGUAAUACGGAGGGUGCAAGCGUUAAUCGGAAUUACUGGGCGUAAAGCGCACGCAGGCGGUCUGUCAAGUCGGAUGUGAAAUCCCCGGGCUCAACCUGGGAACUGCAUUCGAAACUGGCAGGCUAGAGUCUUGUAGAGGGGGGUAGAAUUCCAGGUGUAGCGGUGAAAUGCGUAGAGAUCUGGAGGAAUACCGGUGGCGAAGGCGGCCCCCUGGACAAAGACUGACGCUCAGGUGCGAAAGCGUGGGGAGCAAACAGGAUUAGAUACCCGUGUAGUC
RNAcentral lists this ribosomal RNA (465 nucleotides) under uncultured Klebsiella sp. Its description in RNAcentral is "bacterial SSU rRNA". It matches the Rfam family "Bacterial small subunit ribosomal RNA", at positions 338 to 795 of the family's 1533-position model. The record is from RNAcentral. Lineage: Bacteria; Pseudomonadati; Pseudomonadota; Gammaproteobacteria; Enterobacterales; Enterobacteriaceae.